CAGCACCUCAAGUGGUCAGGAUGAUUAUUGGGCCUAAAGCAUCCGUAGCCGGCUCUGUAAGUUUUCGGUUAAAUCUGUAUGCUCAACAUACAGGCUGCCGGGAAUACUGCAGAACUAGGGAGUGGGAGAGGUAGACGGUACUCGGUAGGAAGGGGUAAAAUCCUUUGAUCUAUUGAUGACCACCUGUGGCGAAGGCGGUCUACCAGAACACGUCCGACGGUGAGGGAUGAAAGCUGGGGGAGCAAACCGGAUUAGAUACCCGAGUAGUCC
This 270-nucleotide ribosomal RNA is filed under the name uncultured archaeon. Its description in RNAcentral is "partial 16S ribosomal RNA". It matches the Rfam family "Archaeal small subunit ribosomal RNA", at positions 477 to 747 of the family's 1478-position model. The record is from RNAcentral.